CAUGUCUUUUUGAUUAUAAUUUAAAGUCUAAUCUGCCCCCUGAGGAUUUAAAUGGCCGCAGUAUUUUGACUGUGCUAAGGUAGCAUAAUCAAUAGUUUCUUAAUUAGAAGCUGGAAUGAAUGAUUGGAUGAGAUAAAAUCUGUCUCAAAUUUAAAUAUUAGAAUUUUAUUUUUAAGUAAAAAAGCUUAAAUAAUUUUAAAAGACGAGAAGACCCUAUAGAGUUUAAUAUUAAACCUUUAAUUUUAUAAUUAUAUAAAUAUUCUAUUAAAGUUUUAAUAUUUUGUUGGGGUGAUAGAAAAAUUUAAUAAACUUUUUUUUUAUUUAACCAUUAAUUUAUGAAUAAUUGAUCCAUUAAUUAUGAUUAUAAGAUUAAAUUACCUUAGGGAUAACAGCGUAAUUUUUUUUAAGAGUUCAAAUCGAAAGAAAAGAUUGCGACCUCGAUGUUGGAUUAAAGUUAAAUUUUGGUGUAGCAGCUAAAAUUUUAAGUCUGUUCGACUUUUAAAUCUUUACAUGAUCUGAGU
This 521-nucleotide ribosomal RNA is filed under the name Dasytes terminalis. Its description in RNAcentral is "partial 16S ribosomal RNA". The stretch from base 385 to 521 matches the Rfam family "Bacterial large subunit ribosomal RNA", at positions 2473 to 2610 of the family's 2925-position model. The record is from RNAcentral. Lineage: Eukaryota; Metazoa; Arthropoda; Insecta; Coleoptera; Melyridae.